This 4505-nucleotide long non-coding RNA is filed under the name Arachis ipaensis. RNAcentral's name for it is "long non-coding RNA (AIPA_LNC001301)". Lineage: Eukaryota; Viridiplantae; Streptophyta; Magnoliopsida; Fabales; Fabaceae. The record is from RNAcentral.
UAACAUUAAUUAUGAAAAUGAACAAAGGUUUUAAGAUAAUUCAUAUUUGAACCAAAUUAGCCAAAUUCCUAGAAAUUCCUUCUUGCACAGCCUUUUUUAUUUGAAUCAUCAAGCGUAAUCACAGACUUAGUAUACAGGUUUCUUCACCUAUGAUCAGAUUUUAAAAAAUAACAAAAAUGUUGAAAUUGUCAACAAAAAAAGUGGGGUCAUGCAUUUAGUAGAUGUAUUUGUUUCAAAGAUGGCAGUGAAAAUCAUACAUCUAUGUCAUUAAUCUUGCCACCGCAUGUCUUUUAGAAGAAUUCUAAGAAGAUUCAGUCAAAUAAAACACAGUUGCUCAUCAGACCAAUCAUUAGCUCUUAAAUACUAUGAAGAAAUCUUAAGCACUAACCCACCAGUUACAACUAGGAAUAUCCGCCGAAACAAGAUGCAUGCUAGCCAUGGUAACAAAGACUCAAAAAUCAGCCAAUAACACAAGUUCAAAAAUUAAUUCAAUAUCAGUGAGUUAACCAAAAUCAAGGUGAUAGUGAGUUCAUGGCAUUUCCCAAAUCCUCCAACCCAAUAGAUAUAAAAUUUACCAAGUUCUGUACAAAUUUUGACAACAGAAAAUUUAUUAAUUUGAGUUGAUUUAUUCCUCCUUAGUGUCUUUUCAAUAAGCCUCUAGCAAUCAUUUCAUGAAGAUAUUUCAGCGCUUGUUCAUUUUCACCUUUUUCCAACAGAGCACGAAUAGUUAGUUCGUAAGUUACAGCAUCCGGAGAGCAACCAUUGUCUUCCAUUUCCAACUUUAAGGCCAAUGCUUCAUCAAAUAGGCUCUCUUUGCAGAGCCCCUUUAUCAUAACAUUGUAUAUCCUUGUGUUUAGGUGAUAGCCUUUAAUGGAAAGAUCUUGAAAAAUCUCUUUUGCAUUUUUAAGCCAUCCACUUUUGCAUAGGCCAUCUAUAAGUAUGGUGUAUGUAUAUAUAUUCGGAUCAAUGCCACUCUCUUUCAUUUGAUUGAAUAAUAUAAGUGCCUUGUCAUGUUGUUUGAUAUUGAACAAAGCAUCCAUCAAAGAACUGUAAGUGACUAUAUUAGCGGGUUGACCUCGAUAAUGCAUCUUUUCAAGAAGCUCCAAGGCACAAAGGAUUCUUCUUGAUUUUCCCAAGCCAUCAAUUAGAGUACUGUAAGUUACCGUGUCAGGAACCAAGUUCUUGCGACGCAUCUCUUCGAAGAGAUUCAAGGCGUCAUCGAUCAUUUUACUUUUGCAAAAGCCAUUAAUCAUGAUAUUGUAACUCCGAACAUUAGGAAACACUCUACUCUCGGCCAUUGUGUUGAAUACAUAUUUUGCCUUAUUUACCUGAUGAACCAAACAAUAUCCAUCCAUUAAGCUGUUAUAAGUAACCACAUCUAGUUUCACACCAUCUUUUGUCAUUACAGCCAACACACUCUUAGCAUCUUUGAUCUUUCCUUCCUUGCAUAGCCCAUCGAUCAAAAUACUAUAGGUACGAACAUUUGGAGAAAUGUUUCUAAGCACCAUAUCACUUAACAAAUCAAUGGCUUCCUUAUAUUGACCCUCAAGACACAAUCCAAAAAUGAGAGAACUGUAUGUGAUAACAUUAGGAGAAAUUCCCUUAUCAAGCAUUUCAGAGUAUAAAUGAAAAGCCUGACUUACAAGUGUAUCCUUGCAGAGGGUAUCAAUAAUUGCGCUGUACAUGAAGACAUUAGGAGCAAUGCCAUACCGUGGGAUCUUUCUCAACAUUUGAAUAGCAGCUGAUGUGUGUCCGGUCUUACAGAGCCCAUUAAUCAACGUCCCAUAAGUGACUUGAUUAAAGUGAAAUCCAUGAGCCAGCACUCUGUCAUGAAAGCGCACUGCUUUUUCAACACUACUACAGAGAUAGAGACCUUUCAGGAUUGUUGUCAAUGUCACCGUAUUAGGUUGAUAAUCCAUUCUGAAAAUCUUGGCCAAUACAGAGAAAGCAAGCGUCAUACGACCCAUGCCACAACAACAAUUGAUUACGAUGCUCAAAGUAAAUAAGUCGGGAGCGAUUCCUCUAGCUUGCAAUUGCUGAAAAAGGGAAAUGGCGGUGGAGAAAUGGUUGGUCUUGGCAAGAGAUCCCAAAAUCUUGGUGAAUUGGAUGAUGGAUGGAGGGCGACGCAUAGAGAGCAUGCGAGUGAAGGAAUGAACAGCUUCAUCAACUUGGCGAAGGGAUGGGGGCUCAGAAUGAGAGUGAAGGGAUGAAGAGGAAGGGAAGGAAACAAAAUUAGGGAUUUGGAGAAGAGAAUACCUAAAAAUGAAAGUGAUCCUUGAGGUUGAGGAUGACAACAUUUUAGUGAUUCGCACUUUCGCUGUUGUCUAAGUUUGAGAGAGUGCUCUCUGCUCUCUGCUCUCUGCCCUCUCUGCCCUCUGCUCCAAGACGUAGACGACUAGACGUUGCUAUCUCUGCGGAAAUAGUUCUCUCAAUUUUUAUCCGGUAUGUACGCGAUUUCAUACUCUUAAAACUUUGGAGUAUUAAAACCAAGGUUCUGAAAACCGAACCGGUCAUCGAACAAAUAUUUUUUUCCUUUUCUUUCUUGUUAUUUUUUUUUGUUAUAAAUCUAAUUCUAAUUCGAUAUUUAAAUUAAUGCAAUAUGAUAUGAUCGGUUCAGGUUUAGUCACAAAAAUAUAUUUAUCAGAUCCAUUUUAAAGCGAUCAAAUUUAAUCAGUUUAGUUUUCAAUUUUUUCCAAAUCCAACCCAAACUAAUCCGAUUACACCCUAACUUCAUGGAUUAAACAUUAGAAGCAACAAUUCUAGUUACAAAUCUGACGAUAAUGUAAUAUUAUUCUACUCUUUGAUUUGUGACUACUUACUUAAAAUUAUUUUUAAAUUUAGUUUUAACUAUAAAAAUCUAAAAUUAUAUUCAACUAAUAACUUAAAUUAAAUAUCUCCAAUAUAAUCUUUAAAAAAAAAUUAUACAGUACCUCAAUGCAUCUAAAUUUGUUUUCAAUAUCUUCUUUAAUUUCUUUUGAAGUAUCUUUUGAUAAAUUAAUUUAAAAUAAUACUUUAAAAUAAUAUUAAUUCUAUUCCUAAUAUAUAUUUAUAUAUAUAUCUUAAAUAAAUGGUAUGUUAUAAUAUAGUUAAUUUUUAAAAUCAUGAUGCUAUAGAUAAAAAAAGUAGUAUACAUGAUAAGUUUUNNNNNNNNNNNNNNNNNNAGUGUUAAAUUCUAAAACCUUUUCCAAUACAAAUAUCAGUUUCUAUAGUUGCAUUAGCCGCCAUACCAUAGCAUUAUUCAUGCAUAAAGAUUAUUUUUUUUCUGACGGUAAACUAAUAUAUAGAAAAAGUCAAUAAAUAAGACAAAUUUAUAAAAAUGAACUUGGUAUGUGUAACUUACGUUAUACAUAUUAAAUAAAGUCAAAAAAUUAAAUUUCACAUAUUUUAAAAAAAUAUUAUAUUAUAUAAUAAUACUUUUAACAAAAUAGUUAGUUAAGUUGGUAUUAGUGCAGUCUGAGAGUGAUUUUUAACAAAAUCAAUUCAUUUUAUGUUUAUUAGUGCAGUCUGAAGAGUGCUUUUUGUGAAAGUAAGUAGCUAUUAUUCACUUCCAUCCAAAACUGAUUUUGAAGCUUAAAAUCCAAUGGUGUGUUCAACUAGAAAUCAAAUAUGCUGAGAAAAUAUUAAAUCAAAUGGACAAACUGAAAUCCAAGUAUAAAGGAAAAUUCAUACUAGAGAACUUCAAUAUUGUCUUUGCCAUGCUGCAACUUAACAUGCUUGCGUGCACCUAGCAAUCAGUAAGCAUGGAACAAAGAUGAAAAUGUCAAGAAUCCAAAAUAUUCAACCACCAAUUCAAGUUCAUAUCAGUUUCAUGAAAUAAGUUAAUCAGCACUUAAGCAGAGUUCAACUUUUGAUAUUCAAAGAUAUUCUUCAAAAAGAAAUGCAAUUUCAAACUCUACAACAUUGUUUCACUUUUAAUUCUUUAUUCUAACCCCAAUCAUCACUGCAGAGAAGAUUUAGAAAACCCAAAGAAACAGGUGUAGAAACAAUUGUACUUGGAAUUAGAAUCCCCAAAUCUUUUGUGACAGGUGUAGCUAAUAACAGACAACAAAUCUCCAAACCAUGUUUUAAUAAUAAAAGCUUUUCAACAUGAUUUUAAACAAGAACAAUAUAAUAAUCCCUAUAUAGGAUUUUUUAACGAGAAAUAAUGAAAUAAUUCAACCAAGCAUUAACUGCCGAGUAACAUUAAUUAUGAAAAUAAACAUAAUGUACAUAUUUUCAAUUGAUUCUAAGAAUUACAGCUGAGUAAUAUUAAUUAUGAAAAGCACAAAGGUUUUAAGAUAAUUCAUAUUUGAACCAUAGUAGACAAAUUCCUAGAAAUUCCUUCUUGCACAGCCCCUCUUUUUUUUCCUUGAAAAAUUAAGUGUAAUCACAUACUUUGUAUACAGGUUUCUUCAGCUGUGAUCAGAUUUUGAAAAAUAACAAAAUGUUGAAAUUGUCAACCAAAAAAAGUGGGGUCAUGCAUUUAGUAGAUGUAUUUGUUUUAAAGACGGCAGUGAAAAUCAUAU